GCAAAAAACGUAAACAAAGAGAAAACAAACAAUAACAAACUAAUUGAUUUAUUUCUAAAAUAUUGAAUUAUUGAUAUAAAAUGAAAUAUAUUGACUGUGCACCAAAAUAAACUAGGCCGAUCGAUAGGGAACCGGAAAAUGAAUGGAUUCUAGUAUUUUUUUCAUUUCUGGGUACUUGCUAUUAUAUAUUAUGAAGCAGCAAACUCUGAGAUAUUUAACAAAAAGUUUUUUGUUAAUAAAAAUUUAAAUAUACUUUGUGCAAUAAAACAGAAAUAUGUAAUCGAUAGAAAAUCGGAAAUGAAUCGACCUCCUUAUUGAUUUUUGUUCUUCGUACUUGAUAUCGGCUGUUGGGAUGCAACAAACUUUGAGUAACAUAUUAAAAACGUCCAAUAGAAAGUACUCCGGAAAAAAAUGAGUAUAGGGAUCGAUUCGUUAAUCGAUUCUCUAUUGAUCACUAUUAGCUGUUUUGGUGCACAAGGAAUAUUUAAAAAAUUUUUUGUAUAAAAACUUUUUUCUCUUUUUUGUCAGAUUUUGUGAAGUUACCGAAGUUUGUUGCGUCACAACGUCCAAUAGAAAGUACUCCGGAAAAAAAUGAGUAUAGGGAUCGAUUCGUUAACCGAUUCUCUAUCGAUCACUAUUAGCUGUUUUGGUGCACAAGGAAUAUUUAAAAAAUUUUUUUGUAUAAAAACUUUUUUCUCUUCUUUUGUCAGAUUUUGUGAAGUUACCGAAGUUUGUUGCGUCACAGCGUCCAAUAGAAAGUACUCCGGAAAAAAAUGAGUAUAGGGAUCGAUUCGUUAAUCGAUUCUCUAUUGAUCACUAUUAGCUGUUUUGGUGCACAAGGAAUAUUUAAAAAAUUUUUUGUAUAAAAACUUUUUUCUCUUUUUUGUCAGAUUUUGUGAAGUUACCGAAGUUUGUUGCAUCACAGCAUCCAAUAGAAAGUACUCCGG
This is a long non-coding RNA of Lucilia cuprina (Australian sheep blowfly), 947 nucleotides long. RefSeq lists it as uncharacterized. Lineage: Eukaryota; Metazoa; Arthropoda; Insecta; Diptera; Calliphoridae. The transcript has 2 exons. The record is from RefSeq and is a predicted model, not a curated record.